RNAcentral lists this ribosomal RNA (426 nucleotides) under uncultured bacterium. Its description in RNAcentral is "bacterial SSU rRNA". It matches the Rfam family "Bacterial small subunit ribosomal RNA", at positions 356 to 773 of the family's 1533-position model. The record is from RNAcentral.
AGGGAAUCUUCCGCAAUGGACGAAAGUCUGACGGAGCAACGCCGCGUGAGUGAAGAAGGCCUUCGGGUCGUAAAACUCUGUUGUUAGGGAAGAACAAGUACCGUUCGAAUAGGGCGGCACCUUGACGGUACCUAACCAGAAAGCCACGGCUAACUACGUGCCAGCAGCCGCGGUAAUACGUAGGUGGCAAGCGUUGUCCGGAAUUAUUGGGCGUAAAGCGCGCGCAGGCGGUUUCUUAAGUCUGAUGUUAAAGCCCCCGGCUCAACCGGGGAGGGUCAUUGGAAACUGGGGAACUUGAGUGCAGAAGAGGAGAGUGGAAUUCCACGUGUAGCGGUGAAAUGCGUAGAGAUGUGGAGGAACACCAGUGGCGAAGGCGGCUCUCUGGUCUGUAACUGACGCUGAGGCGCGAAAGCGUGGGGAGCAAAC